CAACAGGGAUUGCCUUAGUAACUGCGAGUGAAGCGGCAAAAGCUCAAAUUUGAAAUCUGGCGUCCUUGGGCGUCCGAGUUGUAAUUUGGAGGGAUAUCUUCGGGGACGGCGCCGUCCCAAGUUCCUUGGAACAGGACGUCAUAGAGGGUGAGAAUCCCGUGCCUGGACGGCUGUCCUUCCCCAUGUGAAGUGUCUCCGACGAGUCGAGUUGUUUGGGAAUGCAGCUCAAAAUGGGUGGUAAAUUUCAUCUAAAGCUAAAUAUUGGCGAGAGACCGAUAGCGCACAAGUAGAGUGAUCGAAAGAUGAAAAGCACUUUGAAAAGAGAGUUAAAAAGUACGUGAAAUUGUUGAAAGGGAAGCGCUUGCGACCAGACUCGAUCUUUGGCGAUCAGCCGGGCUUCUGUCCGGUGCCCUCGCCACCGAUCGGGCCAGCAUCGGUUCCGACGGCGGGACAAAAGGCGUGUGGAAUGUGGCUUCCCUCGGGGAGUGUUAUAGCCCACGUCACAAUGCCGCCAGUUGGGACCGAGGACCGCGCUUCGGCUAGGAUGCUGGCGUAAUGGUCUUAAGCGACCCGUCUUGAAACACGGACCAAGGAGUCUAACAUCUAUGCGAGUGUUCGGGUGGAAAACCCUUGCGCGUAAUUAAAGUGAACGGAGGUGUGAACCCGUGAGGGUGCAACAUCGACCGGUCCUGAUGUCUUCGGAAGGAUCUGAGUAAGAGCAUAGCUGUUGGGACCCGAAAGAUGGUGAACUAUGCCUGAAUAGGGUGAAGCCAGAGGAAACUCUGGUGGAGGCUCGCAGCGGUUCUGACGUGCAAAUCGAUCGUCAAAUUUGGGUAUAGGGGCGAAAGACUAAUCGAACCAUCUAGUAGCUGGUUCCUGCCGAAGUUUCCCUCAGGA
RNAcentral lists this ribosomal RNA (897 nucleotides) under Miladina lecithina. RNAcentral describes it as "eukaryotic LSU rRNA". It matches the Rfam family "Eukaryotic large subunit ribosomal RNA", at positions 66 to 978 of the family's 3401-position model. The record is from RNAcentral. Lineage: Eukaryota; Fungi; Ascomycota; Pezizomycetes; Pezizales; Pyronemataceae.